GGGAAUGUGGCUCAGUGGUAGAGCGCUUGUCUAGCAUGCAUGAAGCACUGGGUUCAAUUCCUCAUACCAC
This is a non-coding RNA of Dipodomys ordii (Ord's kangaroo rat), 70 nucleotides long. The record is from Rfam. NCBI's taxonomy places the organism in Eukaryota, Metazoa, Chordata, Mammalia, Rodentia, Heteromyidae.